Molecule: ribosomal RNA, 427 nt
Filed under: uncultured prokaryote
Description: bacterial SSU rRNA
Rfam family: Bacterial small subunit ribosomal RNA
Source: RNAcentral
UGGGGAAUCUUGCGCAAUGCGCGAAAGCGUGACGCAGCAACACCGCGUGAGGGAAGACGGCCUUAGGGUUGUAAACCUCUUUCAGAUGGGACGAAGGUUGUCCGGUGAAUAGCCGAGAUAAUUGACGGUACCGUCAGAAGAAGCUCCGGCUAACUACGUGCCAGCAGCCGCGGUAAUACGUAGGGAGCGAGCGUUGUCCGGAAUCAUUGGGCGUAAAGAGCACGUAGGUGGAUCAAUUAGUCUGCUGUGAAAGUCGAAGGCUCAACCUUCGAAAGCCGGUGGAUACUGUUGAUCUAGAGUACGGAAGAGGCGAGUGGAAUUCCUGGUGUAGCGGUGGAAUGCGCAGAUAUCAGGAGGAACACCAAUAGCGAAGGCAGCUCGCUGGGACGUUACUGACACUGAGGUGCGAAAGCGUGGGGAGCAAACA